AGGUCGAAGCGAGACGUUUCGUAACGCAACGGGGCAAAGGUUCCGACCCGACGGAAGACGCGACGCGACGCCCAAGCGAGAGAACAUUGAGACCGCACGAGAGGGCGAGGGCGGUGGUGGAUACGCGAUGCAGCAGCUCCAGCACCACCAGAGAUCCACCGGUGGGCCGAAUGCGGCCGGGCCGGCUCCGGGGCCGCCGAGGAGGCGGUGCGAGGGCACGGCCAUGGGCGCCAUAACUCUCGACCUCCGCCCCGGCUUCGGCAUCGGCCCGUUCAACCUUGGUAUGCCAUUACAUGAAGCAUUUGCUCAAGUUGAGCAUCAACCCAACAUAUAUGAUGUGGUCCAUGUGAAGUAUCUUGAUGAGGAGCCUCUAAAGUUGGACAUUGUUAUUAGUUUUCCGGAUCAUGGUUUUCAUCUGCGUUUUGAUCCUUGGUCACAGAGGUUGCGUCUCAUUGAGGUUUAUGAUGUCAAACGGUUACAGACGCGUUAUGCAAAUUCUCUAAUUGGUGGUCCUUCAACAUUAGCCACCUUUGUAGCAGUCUAUGCACUUUUUGGACCCACGUAUCCUGGAACUUAUGACCAAGAUAGAGGAAUUUAUACAUUAUUUUAUCCGGGGUUGUCUUUUGCUUUUCCCAUUCCAAGCCAAUAUACAUAUUGCUGCCAAAAUGGAGAAGUCUCAGCAGAGUUGCCUCUUGAGUUUCCUGAUGGAACAACUCCAGUUGCAUGCCGUGUCUCUGUGUAUGAUGGUUCUUCAGAUAGUAAAGUUGGUGUGGGAUCACUUCUUGACAAAGCUUCAGUUCCUCCGCUGCCUGCUGGCAGUCUAUACAUGGAAGAGGUGCAUGCUAAGCUAGGAGAAGAAUUAUGGUUCACUGUUGGAGGUCAGCACAUUCCUUUUGGUGCAUCACCUCAGGAUGUUUGGACAGAGUUAGGUCGUCCUUGUGGAAUCCACCAAAAGCAGGUUGAUCAAAUGGUUAUCCACUCUGCUUCAGAUCCCCGUCCUCGGACAACUCUUUGUGGAGAUUACUUUUAUAAUUAUUUCUCUCGUGGUCUGGACAUUUUAUUUGAUGGACAGACACAUAAAAUCAAGAAGUUCGUGUUACACACAAAUUUUCCAGGGCAUUCAGACUUCAAUACAUAUAUGAAAUGCAACUUUGUUAUCUAUGACUCUGAUGAUAAAGGAACAAUUCAACCUGGUAAUACUUCUAAAAAUUGCAUCACGCCAAACACAAAAUGGGAACAAGUAAAGGAGAUUCUUGGGGAUGGUGGUCGUGCUGCAAUUCAAACACAAGGUUCAAUGACCAAUCCAUUUGGAUCAACUUUUGUCUAUGGAUACCAAAAUGUGGCAUUCGAGGUUAUGAAGAAUGGUUAUAUAGCUACUGUUACUCUGUUCCAAUCUUAAGAUGAAAUGACUUGUUUGACUUCUAGUUUCAACAUGGGUCCAAUGAUUCCAAAAGAACCACUUUGUGGCCAAGGCGAAUUUGAGAGGAUUACGCUGGGUUUUCACAUGAACUUGAUGGGAAGCUAGCAUGCUCCUCCAUAAUUCGUGCUGUGGAUUCAGUCUUGUAUGGGUGUGUAAUUCUCUGUACAGUGCAAUUAAUUUCUUUUUCAUGACUUGUAUCAUUCUGUAAAUUAAAUAUUCCUUUUUGGAAAAAUUUAUUUGCCCAAUGACUUCAUAUAUAAAUAUUAGUAACCAUCAAACACUAACGAUGGAACAUAAAUUCUUUCCUCC
RNA transcript from Musa acuminata AAA Group (dessert banana), 1729 nucleotides. It is a transcript of the gene named PHAF1 protein At3g51130-like, with no coding region annotated. The record is from RefSeq and is a predicted model, not a curated record. The transcript is spliced from 16 exons. NCBI's taxonomy places the organism in Eukaryota, Viridiplantae, Streptophyta, Magnoliopsida, Zingiberales, Musaceae.